This 45-nucleotide non-coding RNA is filed under the name Schistosoma mattheei. Lineage: Eukaryota; Metazoa; Platyhelminthes; Trematoda; Strigeidida; Schistosomatidae. The record is from RNAcentral.
GUCCAGCUGAAGAGUCUUAAGUAGGACGAAACAUGAGUCCUGGAC